UCGGCCACACUGGGACUGAGACACGGCCCAGACUCCUACGGGAGGCAGCAGUAGGGAAUCUUCCGCAAUGGACGAAAGUCUGACGGAGCAACGCCGCGUGAGUGAUGAAGGUUUUCGGAUCGUAAAGCUCUGUUGUUAGGGAAGAACAAGUGCGAGAGUAACUGCUCGCACCUUGACGGUACCUAACCAGAAAGCCACGGCUAACUACGUGCCAGCAGCCGCGGUAAUACGUAGGUGGCAAGCGUUGUCCGGAAUUAUUGGGCGUAAAGGGCUCGCAGGCGGUUUCUUAAGUCUGAUGUGAAAGCCCCCGGCUCAACCGGGGAGGGUCAUUGGAAACUGGGAAACUUGAGUGCAGAAGAGGAGAGUGGAAUUCCACGUGUAGCGGUGAAAUGCGUAGAGAUNGUGGAGGAACACCANGUGGCGAAGGCGACUCUCUGGUCUGUAACUGACGCUGAGGAGCGAAAGCGUGGGGAGCGAACAGGAUUAGAUACCCUGGUAGUCCACGCCGUAAACGAUGAGUGCUAAGUGUUAGGGGGUUUCCGCCCCUUAGUGCUGCAGCUAACGCAUUAAGCACUCCGCCUGGGGAGUACGGNUCGCNAAGACUGAAACUCAAAGGAAUUGACGGGGGCCCGCACAAGCGGUGGAGCAUGUGGUUUAAUUCGAAGCAACGCGAAGAACCUUACCAGGUCUUGACAUCCUCUGACAACCCUAGAGAUAGGGCUUUCCCUUCGGGGACAGAGUGACAGGUGGUGCAUGGUUGUCGUCAGCUCGUGUCGUGAGAUGUUGGGUUAAGUCCCGCAACGAGCGCAACCCUUGAUCUUAGUUGCCAGCAUUCAGUUGGGCACUCUAAGGUGACUGCCGGUGACAAACCGGAGGAAGGUGGGGAUGACGUCAAAUCAUCAUGCGCCUUAUGACCUGGGCUACACACGUGCUACAAUGGACAGAACAAAGGGCUGCAAGACCGCAAGGUUUAGCCAAUCUCAUAAAUCUGUUCUCAG
RNAcentral lists this ribosomal RNA (998 nucleotides) under uncultured Bacillus sp. RNAcentral describes it as "bacterial SSU rRNA". It matches the Rfam family "Bacterial small subunit ribosomal RNA", at positions 304 to 1291 of the family's 1533-position model. The record is from RNAcentral. Lineage: Bacteria; Bacillati; Bacillota; Bacilli; Caryophanales; Bacillaceae.